UCUAUUUUGCUGGAGAAAGAAGCCAAAUCUGUGAGUUGCUUAUGGGUCAAAAUGAAGUCAGCAUACAUCUAACAAAAAAUAGACAAAGAUAAACUAUGAUUACUGCACUAUUAUAUAGUACAUUCGACAAAUAUUCCAAUCCAAAUGAAGUUAUUUGAAUAAGGCAUAACAUGCUAGUAAAAAUCACUAAAGAGCAUAAUCCACAGGAUCAUGUAGAAUUUGCACAAUUUAUUUUUUUUCCACAAGCAGCUUUACAAGUAAUUCUUGGUGAGCAAGAUCUAUUACACCAUGCCAAGACUAAGCACUUAGGCUGAUAAAAUACACAACAGUCAGUAAUAAAUGGAAAAGUAGAAGAUGACUGGUGUGCUGAUGUGACAUGCAAAAGUUCAUUGUAUAUGGUGUUGUCUUGCUCAAUAUGGCAUCCAGAGUGGAAUAUUUUUGAGAACUUUAUACUGGACAACUACCAUAAAAGUUACAACACUACAGAUGUUUCUGGUUUCAGCAUUUAAAUUCUAGACGGUGUAGACUGACUGAUCCCAGCUUCGACACCAGUGUCUAGACCUUUAUGUACUAGACCUAUAGCAGCUGCAAUCACUUGACAGUAUUUGUUAGUCAUUCAUAGCAGAAUAUUUGUAAUUACAUAACAAUAUUUGUUACCCAUGUUUUAGACUAAUUGUUACUAUUACCAAGUAAUAACACAGUGAUAUUGCUAUUUCGAGGUAACAACAGAUACAAAGAUUGUUAAACCAUGUGAUUCCACAAUCUUAAUAUGACAGAUCAAUCCUGUGGUCUAAAUGCUAGUAAAUCAUAAAAGAUACAAAGAAUCAAUGAAUCAUAAUGAAACAAAAUCUUAAAAAUUAACAUUGAUCACCAUAACAUAUAAUUUUGGCCAAUGUAAGUCUGGAGAAGGGCAUAUUCAUAGUCUUUCUUUCAUAUCCAACAAUUGCUUUGUCUUGUAACCAAAAGCUUAAAAGGAAAAUGAGAUCUAAAGCCUCAAAGAAUCCCUUCUCCCACUCCUUUCAUCCCAGAUAUUGAAUUGGCAGACCUGAGUAGGUAUUAACUUAAGCAUCUAUUCAUACAUAUCUAAAGCUGUCAAUGAUCACUGUUGGUUUGUAAGUAGUUUUCAUAAUAUAUGUUAUUAUUUUCUUGGGUUUAAGCUCAGUUGUGCAAAUGAUCCUACAUAUUACUUCUGUAGUUCCACCUCAAAUAAAUAAAGACAAGCUGGAACUGAUCAAAACAGAGAGUACCAGGGGAAAAUGUAACCCAGAGAUGGAUACACCUAAUGUUCUUCACUAGCAGCUAAAACUGCACCCAGUGGCCACUCAGCAACAUUUGGAUGCUUCCAAUGUCCAGCUCAGGCUUGGUCCCUUUUACCAUUACAGCGGUCCCAACAAGAACACAGAUUUGUAAAGACUGCUGCUAUAGCUCUGACAUGAUUCUUACUGCACUUGGACUGCAAUUUGGACCACAGUUCAUAUGCGUGUCCAGAUUACUGGUGGCAGAUCCAAGCCAUUGGAACCCUUCAUGGAGAUGUGUAUCUGUGUGACUCACCGCAUAUGAACUUGGUUGGUCAAUUUCCUUAUCAUCACUGCAAAUUCAAGCUAAUGGAGUAAAGCAAUAGUAUCUCCAACAGUUAGCUCCAUG
RNAcentral lists this long non-coding RNA (1644 nucleotides) under Musa acuminata (dwarf banana). Its description in RNAcentral is "long non-coding RNA (MACU_LNC003716)". The record is from RNAcentral. Lineage: Eukaryota; Viridiplantae; Streptophyta; Magnoliopsida; Zingiberales; Musaceae.